This 3853-nucleotide long non-coding RNA is filed under the name Homo sapiens (human). RNAcentral's name for it is "mir-99a-let-7c cluster host gene". The record is from RNAcentral. Lineage: Eukaryota; Metazoa; Chordata; Mammalia; Primates; Hominidae.
AUGGAUCUGAGAACGCUGUCUGGGCUUGGUACCAAGAGCUGGUAUUUCACAGCAGCGACCGCCUCACAGACGAGCUGUGGGAAGCAGGAGGGAGACUCUCUCUUAGGGUGCCACUACUAUGGAGACACAGCUGGGCUGAACAAGAUUUGCUUCAAACGACAACAAGAGAGACAGAAAGUAUCUGGUUCAACCGCUGCCCGAGCAGGCAGGCACCAGAAGAGCUAGCAGCCAAUCCGGCCAUGCUCGAAGCCAGCUCUGCAGCUCAGCCAAUCAGUGACAUCAUUGCUUUCUUUAGCUUGCCCAUGGUGAUGUGAAGAUGAGAAGAAAUAGCAAGGCCCAACCAGUUCUUCAUCUGGAGACAGUUCAACGUUCUGCAAACCAGAUCUUCAGGAAUUUUACUGGGAUAAUUAUCCAAAUAAAUUGCAAGCAUUCUAUCCAAAUGGACAUCCAUAAAAAUUCAUCAGAGAGCAUUUUACUACUGAGCUGCAAAGUGUUGACUUCAUUCUCAGAUGACAAGAGCACCUCAAAGGCAGCAGCCUCAAGGAGCAGCCAUGGCCCCAGACUUGUCGCACGGAUGCAGAAAACUUAAUGGAGGAGGCUGAGGUCAGAAUGGGAAGAGUUUUUAAAAAAUAAAAAGGGGAGCUAAUAUGUGAGGAACUGAUUGCUGUGCAUUAUUUUCCACUGAACAGACCUUCUUUUAACUUCUAAUCUCAAGCACAUAGCAGCUGUUGUUUUCAUAUUAAAGAUCAGUAAGUGUUUGUUGAAUGAAUGUAUAAAUUCUUCCCCAAUCUCUGUUCCAUGUAAUAAGAACUAAGUUAGCAUUCAAUUAUAAAGAGGACUUAGAAAGUCUGCAGACAUUUUUGAUCAAAAAUCCUUUUAACUGUCUUCUUAUGGUUCCCGGUAACACCUAAGCCCAAAAAACUCAGGUCAUUUCUUGCCUGUACUGUUGCAAUAGCCUCAUAAUAACUAGUCUUCUCCUUUAUCAACCACAGUCGUCUCCGCUACACAAAGAAGAGAGGGUGCUAAUCUAAAGUGUAAAUUAUUUUAAAUCAGCACCCUUCUUGUAAUUUCCCAGUGGUUUUUCCUGUCAUAAGAAUAACAUGCAAAAUUCCUUGCUUGCAAAGCCAGGUAUGACCUUGCCCCGUCUACCUUACUGGCAUCGUCUCUCAUGACUCUUCCCCUUUUUCACUCUCCAUCUUGCCUUUUCCCAACCAUGCCUGCUAGUGAGCCUUAGCCCUUGUGUUUUCUCUGCCAGGGAUGCAUGACUGGCUUCUUUACUUUAUUCUGAUCUCUCUGCUCAAAUGUCAUCUUUUUAGAGAUAGCUUUCCUAAACAUCUUUAAAAGUACCCCAUGAACUGUGAAACACCUUUCCUGCUUUUUCUUCAUAGUACUUAUCACUUCCUGAUAUUAUGUUAGACAACAAGCAAAUAAGUAUAUGCUGUUCCCACUAAAAUAUAAGCUCCAUUUGAACAGGAGCCUUGAUUAUUCCUGAGUAUACCCCUAGUGCCCAGAACCUAGUAGGGCUUUAAUAAAUAUUAGAUUCAUUUGUUGAAUGAAAAAAUGAAUGAAUAAUUGAAUAAAGAUAUCCAGGUAGAGUGUCCGGGCAGCCCAACCUAUGUGAAGCCAGUACAAGAAUGUUUCUGUGACAUAGUGAGCGCAAUUAUUCCUCUAAAUGAUGAACUUGCAUGAGUACACAAGGAUAAAAUUAAGCACGUAGUUUAGAUUUCUGCAAGUCUCUUCCUCAGAUUGAGGAAAAACAAAGAAAUUGAGCUUAUUCUCACCUCAUUCUUACAUGAACUAAAUCCAGAAUAAAGCAUCAUUUAAAUACCAAGCACAUCCCUACCUCAGCCACUCAUGGAAUACUUUAUCUGUAAAGGGACAGAUAGAUAGUAAAUAUUUUUGGCUUUGGGGACCGUACAGUCUGUGUCGCCACUACUCAGCACUUCUGUUGAGGUGUGGAAUCAGCCCUAGACAACACAUAAACAAAUGGGUGUGGCUGUGUUCCAAUAAAAUGUUAUUUAUAAAACUAGGAAAUCAGCAGAUUUAGUCCACAGGCUGUAGUUUGCUGACCCUUGAAUUAGAGAGUCUUCCCCAAAUCCUCUUCCCAAGUUAUUGAAAGAAUGCCCAUAGGACCAUAGCUCCCUCACCUGGUUCUUUCAAGAAAUGAGACAAAUUCAGGGAUGGUUGGAGGGUGGAACGCCUACCUGUGACAUGACUAUUGAGCCUGAUUUCUUUCCUUUUAUCUCUUUAAAGUGAGUCAGGUCUUAACUUUAAACUGUCUCUAAAGUGGCAAUAACUGGGCCAUGUCAAAUACUCCCAAUGACAAAAUUUCUUCUUGGAGAAUGAAUGAGGGUUGCAUACAGUGGUGUGUUGGUAAAUGUUUAGCAACUGGCUCUCUUACUGAUUUCUGUAGUGUAAAUUCUCCCAUCCUGGCCAUCUGAAACUACCAAUAUGAUGUCACUUGAUGUAGAGUUGGGAAAAGACAGUCUCUUGAAUAAGUAUGAGCUGGUUCCAGCCCACUGCUGAACACAUAUUUAAAAGCUACAAUAGCUCUGCUCACUGCCAUUGCAGAGUCUGGAGGAAAGAGUAGCAGGCUUGAUAGGAGCAAUUGGCUGAAUAAUCUUUUGCAAUGCCAAUAAAUAAUGAAAAAGUAUAUAAAUAUAACGCUGUAUAGAAAGCUCUCAAGUUCAGUGUUUGGUUAAAAUACAUACUCAGUAAAUGGUAGCUAUUAUUGUCUUAGUUUAAGUUAUUGCAAGCAUUAAAAUUAAAUGUUUAGCUACAGACUCAAUCCAGUUUUAAUGUCAUUGUGUUAAUAAGGCCUCUUAACAUUGAAGCAACAAAGAUAAAGGAAUUUUUUUGUAGCUAUUCACGAUUCUGCCCAGCUCAAGGUAAAGAUAGCAACAAAAUACUCCAACCAGAAUAAAAGAAGUCUCCACUUGACUGCAGCUCUUCGCAACACUUCACAAGGGUCAAGCUGUGUUAGUUUCCUUCAGUGUUAAACAGAAUGCAUCUUAAGAGAAUAGUUCAAUUAUUGAUUGAAUAGUAGGUUCAAGUUGACUAUAAUCCCAACUAAUACACUCUAAGACCAGGGAUGGGCCGACAGAAGGGUAAAGUUUUCCACUCAAGUCUCGAGGCAAACACUCAGAUAGAAGUAGUAAUAUGGAUGCCUUCUAUUAUUUGGUCACAUACAAUACUGUUCCAGCCCAGUUGUGCAAAACUGGUGAAAUAAAAGGCAAAAAUAUUGACAACAGUUUGGGUAACUGGAUUCCAAAAUGGGCAUCCAUCUAAGAGAAAUUAAUGAAAAAAAAGCAUAUGGACCUUGAAAUACAUUAAUACACAGUUUAGGUUUAAACACUCAGUUUUUAUUAGAAAAGACUAACUUAUCCUGUUUUGAACACUACAAAAGUGCUUUCUGAACCAUUUACUCUCAAACCUCCUCCACCCAUUCCCCUCCAUCUAUAACGCUUUCUGCACAUCUGUAAAAGGUAUGACUUAGUGUUUGGUCUGUGAAAUAAGGUUAAAAAGGAAGCAUUUCUUUUUACAUUCUAGCUAAUGUUGAUAUUUUUCUCAUGCUUCUAUUAGCACAUAAUUCAGAUACAUUAGUUUUGAAGUUUUGAAUCUUCUCUGCUUCUUGAGGGCUCUCUGUUCUAGAUCAACAUGAUCUGUGGAACACCAGCCAAGUCCUGGGCAGAACCCUCCCCGUUGUCCAAAUAUUACUGAAUCAGUUGAGUUUUCUCUGUUGUCAAUGAAUUAUUCCACAUGUUUCUUUGGCUACAUUUUUUUUGGCUUUCUGUUCACAGUAAAUAUAGCCUUUGUUUUUAAAAACUUCUAUUAUGAAAAUUCCAAAUAUAUG